This 23-nucleotide microRNA is filed under the name Schmidtea mediterranea. RNAcentral's name for it is "sme-miR-2151-3p". The record is from miRBase by way of RNAcentral. Lineage: Eukaryota; Metazoa; Platyhelminthes; Tricladida; Dugesiidae.
GAUUGCACUCAAUAUGGUCAGAU